CCCCCCCCCCGGCACAGGGCCGCCGCGUGCGGGCGGAGCCCGGGGCUGGGGCCGGGGAACGUAACGGGGUUUAGUUAAUUAAUCACUAAGCCGACACGGCGGCGUCACCGUGGCCAUUGCUUGGCGUGCGGGGCAGCCGGCAGAGUCCAGCGCGGCGGCGGCUGGUGUCCGGCCUGCUGAGGACCAGCUAACUCAUCGCAGCUGGGGCGUGGGGGGGGGGGGAUGGAACCGCGAUGGGAGCUAAUUAACAACGCUGCAUGUCAUUAGCGCAGUGCAUCGGUUCACUUGACUCCCUGCGCACAGCUGGGUGUUGCCCAGGCGCGGUGGCCCUUGGACUCCAAUGAGACUCCUGCUCAGCCAAGUCUCAGCUGGUGUCAGGAAUCUGCUCCCUGCAGUUUAUUACCCAGCCUUGGUGAAAACUCUCUCCAGCCGAGCGGUGACCCCUUUCUUCACCAGCCAGUUCACUUCGACGAGUGGGUAAACACUAGUAUCUGUUCAAGUCAACAAGCUGUUACCUCCACCUCCUGGUUGGGAAGAUUCAUCCUAACACCAGGCAGACCAGUCCCACUGCAGCGGGUGUCAGAGUGCUUUAUUAAAGGCCUGAGCUCAAUACAGACCCGACAUAAAAGGAUGCAACUCGGCUGAAGUCCCUGCCUAUCCCUCUUCUCCAGCUAGUGCUCCAGCUCUGCUCCAUGGGUGACAGUGUAACAGUCCUUCUGGCUGCUACCACCAUUGAAAGCACUUUGAUGAUUAGAUCUGCUCUGUGGAGAGGGUGAAGAAGCCUGUAAUUACCAGGAAAGGGAUCUUCUAGCACUGUGAUGGAGUCUAUGCACCCUGCUUAGCAGACAGCAGGGAAGAGGUUAACUCUUUCACUCACUUUUUCUCGUGGAAGGAGAGCUGCAGGGAGCCACUCCCCCAGGAAAACCUCUCGGUGCUCAGGGAUUAUCGGGGAUCCAGGGGGGCAGGGCUAGCCCAAGUUGUAGAAAAUGGUC
This 992-nucleotide long non-coding RNA is filed under the name Gopherus agassizii (Agassiz's desert tortoise). Its description in RNAcentral is "lncRNA (ENSGAGG00000000717.1)". The record is from RNAcentral. Lineage: Eukaryota; Metazoa; Chordata; Testudines; Testudinidae.